CUGGAAGCAGGAUGUCCCCUUCUGCCAGUUGCAAUACCGAAGUUCAGUCUUCCGCACAGCUGUUGAGAAGCAAAGCCGUCCUUGGCCCCCUGCCGCCCCUCUCCACACCUCCUCACUAGUGUGGUCUGCUCUCUACUGGUGUUAGCUCAUAAAGCCUUGAACACAUGCCUCUUAAUAAGAAACUCCUGAUGACCAAAAGGCUUUUUCAGCCCAUAGGAAUAGAGCUAAGCAGGUGGACUUUGGUCACUGUGACAAGCAGGUGGGAUGGAGAAAAGGUGAUAGGUUUAGGAGCUGGGGACCUCCCCACUCCUCACAUCAUGCAGCAUAAGUAAUCACCUUCUCCAGCUCUGCGUGUGGUCUACCCCGUGAAAGAUGCCACGAGAAAGAAGAAUUUCCAAUGGUGAUUCUGUAUUAUUCGUCAGAACAAGUCAGCACAGCCAAGACCCUAUACAAACAGUAGUGACAGUGAAAAGCCCAUUUUGCCUGGUUGAAGGCACAUCAUUCGUUCCUGUCUAAACAGUCCUUCAGGCAGCAGCACACACAGCAGAUAUUCAGGGCAACAAAGAGGAAGCUGAAAUAGCGGAUAUAGAUUGGAAGAGAAAAGCAUCACCAACAGUGUUAAUUCCUUUCCUUACUGUAGCUGGAGAAUCAGCCUCAUCUCAAAUGAAGUCUAUCGUCUUCCGCACCCCAUGCAGCUUUCUCAGAGACCUCCUUGACCCUCCGGAGGUUUCCAGACCACUGUGCCUCCAUGCUCAGGCGAAACUUAAAUGCCAACUGACCCAACAUGCUGUCUUCUUCCCGUGUGGUCCCAGACUGCUAAGCAUUACUGGAGUCAAUGGCAUAUCCGGACACAUUGGUGCCCUCAGGAAGUCACACCAACACCGCCUACGCCUUUUAUUCUGCCUGGCAAUCUAACUGUGUCUGCUUGAUUGGUUCAACCUUUCAUUCUCGGCAACAACUAUUUCAAACUUGCAUUCUGCUCAAACUUCGCAGCUUCUCUGCAACCUCCACGCUCUCAGCAGGUGACAGAGAAACAAGAAGCUUAGUAAGAGGAGAAUGUCCUCAGUGUCCACCGGACCUCCGAACCUGCCUGUCCUCAUCUUCCCUCCUCCCAGGGGUGGGAGGUGACCCUCUUCCCUCAAGUUCAAGGUCCCAGGCCCUCCCCAUCCUAAAGACCUCACGCUAUCAGCUCAGCUCAUCACCCAGCAGCCGCCCUGCAUC
RNAcentral lists this long non-coding RNA (1221 nucleotides) under Equus caballus (horse). RNAcentral's name for it is "lncRNA (ENSECAG00000047033.1)". Lineage: Eukaryota; Metazoa; Chordata; Mammalia; Perissodactyla; Equidae. The record is from RNAcentral.